Molecule: non-coding RNA, 96 nt
Organism: Vulgatibacter incomptus
Lineage: Bacteria; Pseudomonadati; Myxococcota; Myxococcia; Myxococcales; Vulgatibacteraceae
Rfam family: Bacterial small signal recognition particle RNA
About the family: The signal recognition particle (SRP) is a universally conserved ribonucleoprotein involved in the co-translational targeting of proteins to membranes. Archaeal SRP consists of a 7S RNA and homologues of the eukaryotic SRP19 and SRP54 proteins.
Source: Rfam
AGCCGGGUCCGGGUAACGCGGGGACGUGAAACCCGCCAGGCCCGGAAGGGAGCAACGGUAGCGUACCUUCGCGUGUACUCGGGGUGCCCGGCUAUC